RNAcentral lists this ribosomal RNA (650 nucleotides) under uncultured bacterium. RNAcentral describes it as "bacterial SSU rRNA". It matches the Rfam family "Bacterial small subunit ribosomal RNA", at positions 9 to 646 of the family's 1533-position model. The record is from RNAcentral.
GAGUUUGAUCCUGGCUCAGAACGAACGCUGGCGGCGUGCUUAACACAUGCAAGUCAGGGAGAAAGUCUCUUCGGGGAUGAUUAAACCGGCGCACGGGUGAGUAACACGUGAGUGACCUGCCUUUUAGACUGGAACAACUUACCGAAAGGUGAGCUAAUGCCGGAUGAGUUAUAUAAGUGCAUGUUUAUAUAGGAAAAGUUGGGGAGACCUGACGCUGAAAGAUGGACUCGCGUCCCAUUAGCUAGUUGGUAGGGUAAUGGCCUACCAGGGCGACGACGGGUAGCCGGCCUGAGAGGGUGGCCGGCCACACUGGGACUGAGACACGGCCCAGACUCCUACGGGAGGCAGCAGUGGGGAAUUUUGCGCAAUGCUCGUAAGAGUGACGCAGCGACGCCGCGUGAAUGACGAAGGCCUUCGGGUCGUAAAGUUCUUUCGACAGGGAAGAAAAUGCCUAUAAGUAACUGUGUAUGUAUUGACGGUACCUGUAUAAGCAGCCCCGGCUAACUCCGUGCCAGCAGCCGCGGUAAUACGGAGGGGGCGAGCGUUGUUCGGAGUGACUGGGCGUAAAGAGCACGUAGGCGGUGUUGUAAGUCAUUAGUCAAAGACUAGAGCUCAACUUUAGUAAGGCUAGUGAUACUAUAAUACUAGAG